CUCGCCCCCCACCCCCUGGCCGCGUUCAGGUUCUUUGUCUUUUUCGUGUGUUCGUUUUACCUUCCUUAUUCGUCUUUUUUUGUUCUCGCACUUAUUUUGUUGUUCUGAACCCCCGUAUGGCGCGUGGGUGGAGGAACAGGAGGAGAGAGAGGGAGAGCUGGCGCUGAACGGACAGAUGGGACAGGAGACAAGCAAAGGAUCGGAGGAAAAUGGAGAGCGAGAGGGAGAGAGAGAGAGAGAGGUAUGAAGGAGAUAGAGUACCGGCACUAGCUUGGGGGUGGGAGGGGGUGAGAAGGUGGAAGGGGCGGGGGGGGGGAGAGCAGGAGGUGGGUGUACGGUAUAGAGUAGGACGGAGGGAUGGCCGAAUUGGAAAUGUGAAAAAUCGCGGGAAAUAGGGAGGGAGAAAAAAACAUUGAAAAAGUGCAGCAGAACUGGAAAAAACUGGACUCCUCUUCAACUCCAAAACUUCCUGUGUUUUUUUGUUUUUUGGUGUGUGAGGCAUUUUUUUCAGCUUUUUUCUUCAUCACCCCUCCGGUCAUCCUCCCUGUUUUCAUCUGUUAAACCAGAACUUCCUCAAACACCUGAACCACAAAACACGAGACGGUCGCGGGUCCGCUCUGCUCUGCGCACACGUCUGAAAAACCACACGUCGGCGAGACUCGUGACAACGUUCCCACCACAGCCUUGCUGGAGUGGACCUCAAAGUGUCGAUUAUUUCCUACAAAGAUAUCUGUAUUAAAAGAGGCGUCACUCAUGUACAUACCAUACUAUACAGUGUGUGCGUUCACUUGGUGUUUGGACCUGGUUCUGGCAUGCUGGUUAGCGGAACAUUCUGGAUCCGCCCGCGUGCAUCAUUGUCCCUGAGACCCUUAACCUGUGAUGAUGUAAAGGUCACAGGUGAGGUCCUUGGGAACAAGGCUGCGUGUGAAACCCGUCUGAAAGCAGCUCUUAUUAGAGGACAGAAAGUGACACGUGACACAGAGGCUGUGUCCGCUACCCUUUAAUAACCGAUAGGUCUUAAAAUAUCAAGUCACGUAUAUAUAAAGCGUCUCAAGUUUUCUUCUGUGCGGCGUGCGCUCCAGGCAGGACGGUGAAAGAUGAGGGACUUGAACAAGAGCAUGUUGAUUGUCUGUGUUUAUACAAUAGGGACAGGGCUCUUUGAAUUUUACACUUCAUCAAAUGCCAAUGACACUAUAGCUAUAGCUGGAGGGGGCAGUUCCUGUCAGCUGGCUUUGUGGUCGUAAAUGUGACGAGUUUAAUGAGAAGUCAGCCAAAGGUUGUGACCCCGAUGUAGAUUGCAACUGGAUUCAUGUAGGUGCCUUAUUUAUUUUAUGUAUACUUUUUAAUGUUUUUAAUAAAUGAAUGAAGAUUUAUAUCAAUAUAAAUGUUUUGUUUAAUUUGAUCCAUUUCAUAUUGAUAUAUUGCCCAAUAAUAGGAUAAAAUGGACAUGUUUGAAUGCAUCUGUUGAAAUAUAACUGUUAAGGUGUGUUACAAAGGUGUGUUAAUAAACAAAUGAAUAUUAAAACGGUUUAUACAUUUAGAAAUACAAAUACAAAAUUUGAUAAAAUGUGUUUGUUUUAUUCAUGACAAAUUACUUAUUUACUUAUUAAUAAACCACACAACCACACCUUUUAUACCCAUGAAUACAAAUAAUAAUAAAACCUAUUAUUACUACAA
Gadus morhua (Atlantic cod) is the source of this 1677-nucleotide long non-coding RNA. RefSeq lists it as uncharacterized. The record is from RefSeq and is a predicted model, not a curated record. The transcript is spliced from 3 exons. NCBI's taxonomy places the organism in Eukaryota, Metazoa, Chordata, Actinopteri, Gadiformes, Gadidae.